Molecule: ribosomal RNA, 218 nt
Filed under: uncultured bacterium
Lineage: Bacteria
Description: partial 16S ribosomal RNA
Rfam family: Bacterial small subunit ribosomal RNA
Source: RNAcentral
UACGUAGGGUGCGAGCGUUGUCCGGAAUUACUGGGCGUAAAGAGCUCGUAGGUGGUUUGUCGCGUUGUCCGUGAAAACUCACAACUCAAUUGUGGGCGUGCGGGCGAUACGGGCAGACUGGAGUACUGCAGGGGAGACUGGAAUUCCUGGUGUAGCGGUGGAAUGCGCAGAUAUCAGGAGGAACACCGGUGGCGAAGGCGGGUCUCUGGACAGUUCCU